CACGCCGUACACUAUGCGCGUUAGGUGUAUCGGUGACCACGAGUUACCGAGGUGCCGAAGGGAAACCGUGAAACGUGCCGCCUGGGAAGUACGGUCGCAAGGCUGAAACUUAAAGGAAUUGGCGGGGGAGCACCACAACAGGUGGAGCCUGCGGUUUAAUUGGACUCAACGCCGGGAAGCUCACCGGAUAGGACAGACAUAUGAUAGUCGGGCUGAAGACUCUACUUGAUGAUCUGAGAGGAGGUGCAUGGCGUCAGUG
Molecule: ribosomal RNA, 259 nt
Filed under: uncultured archaeon
Lineage: Archaea
Description: partial 16S ribosomal RNA
Rfam family: Archaeal small subunit ribosomal RNA
Source: RNAcentral